AUUGAACGCUGGCGGCGUGCCUAAUACAUGCAAGUCGAACGCAGUGGGGACGGGUGAGUAACACGUGGGUAACCUCCCAUCAGAGGGGAUAACACUUGGACACUGGUGCUAUACCGAUACUGAUGGAUGAACCCGCGGUGCAUUAGCUAGUUGGGGAGGUAACGGCUCACCAAGGCCACGAUGCAUAGCCGACCUGAGAGGGUGAUCGGCCACACUGUGAAUGAGACGCGGCCAAGACUCCUACGGGAGGAAGCAGUAGGGAAUCUUCGGCAAUGGACGAAAGUCUGACCGAGCAACGCCGCGUGAGUAAAGAAAGUUUUCGGAUCGUAAAACUCUGUUAUUAGAGAAGCGGUAUCUAACCAGAAAGCCACGGCUAACUACGUGCCAGCAGCCGCGGUAAUUC
RNAcentral lists this ribosomal RNA (403 nucleotides) under uncultured bacterium. RNAcentral's name for it is "partial 16S ribosomal RNA". It matches the Rfam family "Bacterial small subunit ribosomal RNA", at positions 30 to 526 of the family's 1533-position model. The record is from RNAcentral.